CCUGCGCGUGUGGUCUUUCGGCGAGAGAGAAAGGGAAAGAAAAAGCAGCCCACGAGGGGAGGCCGGCCACCGGGCAGGAGCCGCGCGGCUGGCACGACCCGCACUCUGAGUCCGUCCCCACCUUCCCUUCACACACAAAGCGUGGUGCUAAGGGCUGUUCUGCAGGAAUAGGUUCGAAAAUAUUUAUUACGCGGUGAAGAGAAACCUGUGGGUUUCUGUGGAGAGGUGUGAUGGUCAGACAAGCAUCUGCUUUUGCAGAUUUUAGUGCUUGUAGACCCUGUUUUUAAGCUCUUCAUCCGAGUAGAUGGCUGCACAAUGCGCGAUGCCAGGCACGUAGUGGGAUCCAAAAUGUUAAUAUAGGCACCUACCUGUUUUCACAGGAGCUCGCAGUAUUUGCUGUGCUCGAAGUGGGCUGCGGAAUACAAAAUAAAGGCUAAAGUUACUACUAGGUUUUUUCGUUUGCCACAGGUCUGCGAGCUCCGUGAAGACAUUCACACAUUGAUUGAAUUUCCUAUCAGAAAAGAUCCUAUACUUUAUCCAUCAAGCAAGAUUCUAAGACCUGGCCAGUGAUCAAUUAUGUUCAGCUCUCAAGAUUUUGUAUAUAAAACGUGGAUUCAGUUGAAAUUUAUCCUGGUUGUACGAGAGUGUGGUGUCUGUCAGGGAACAUACAUAAUGACCAAAAGGCAUUCUUAAUGAAGGAAGAUUUUAAAUAAAUUUUUAUGGAAUCUAACAGCUGCAUACAUUUGAAAAACAAUAGUAUUUACCAAGGAUCUUUGCAGAUAUAAUCAAGUUAAUAAGAGGCCAUGCUGCAUUAAGGUGAACCCAUGUUCGGUGAAUAAUGUCCUUGUAAGAAAAAGGAAAUUUAGAUAGAGACAUAUAGACUGACAUGUGAAGACAGAGGCAGCGAUUGAAGUUAUGUUGUCACAAGCCAAGGAACACCAAAAGCUGCCAGCAACCAGCAGAAGCUACAAGAGGCAAGGAUUCUUCUCUAGAGCUUUCGGAGAGAAUAUAGCUCAGUCAAAUUCUUGGUUUGGACUUGUGCCUCCAGAAUCAUGUCAGCAUAAAUUUCUGUUGUGUUAAGCUACCCAGUUUGUGGUACUUUGUUAUGACAUCCUUGGGAAAUGAAUAUAGAGGGAUUGAUACCGCCCUCAAAUGAAGGUUGGAAAAUAUCCAGAACUUUUAAUGAGCAGUACAUGAUCCAUCGAAAGAGAAGAGAUGCCCAUUGCUUUGGUGGAGCGGGGUCAGAAUGGAUGCUUGUACUAUCAAUGUUAACUUUUUAUUGCUGCACGAAGAAAAGUGAGGAAUUCAAUACUGGGUUGCUGAUGCAAUGAGGAACACUUGAGGGACCUCCGAGCAUUGGCAAUUUAUGAAGUUAGAGAAGCAUUUCAAUAUAUUAAAAACCUAUGGAGUUCUAACAGCAUGUGCCAGGAAUAUGCCUUGUUUGACCUACACCAAUAGAUCAUUCCUUC
This is a long non-coding RNA of Talpa occidentalis (Iberian mole), 1469 nucleotides long. RefSeq lists it as uncharacterized. Lineage: Eukaryota; Metazoa; Chordata; Mammalia; Eulipotyphla; Talpidae. The record is from RefSeq and is a predicted model, not a curated record. The transcript has 5 exons.